GCUGGGUGUGGUGGCGCAAGCCUGUAAUCCCAACAGUUCAGGAGGCUGAGACAGGAGAAUCUCAAGUUCAAAGCCAGCCUUAGCAAUGACGAGGCACUAAGCACCUCAGUGAGACCCUGUGUCUA
Molecule: small RNA, 125 nt
Filed under: Marmota monax (woodchuck)
Lineage: Eukaryota; Metazoa; Chordata; Mammalia; Rodentia; Sciuridae
Source: RNAcentral